UGAGGAAUAUUGCGCAAUGGACGAAAGUCUGACGCAGCCACGCCGCGUGCAGGAAGACACCCCUACGGGGCGUAAACUGCUUUUCUACGAGAAGAACACCCUGUUCGGCAGGGUCUGACGGUAUCGUAGGAAUAAGCACCGGCUAACUCCGUGCCAGCAGCCGCGGUAAUACGGAGGGUGCAAGCGUUGUCCGGAAUCACUGGGUGUAAAGGGUGUGUAGGUGGGACUGUAAGUCAGAGGUGAAAGCCCACGGCUUAACCGUGGAAUUGCCUUUGAUACUGCAGUUCUUGAGUCCUGGAGAGGUUGCUAGAAUUCGUGGUGUAGCGGUGAAAUGCGUAGAUAUCACGAGGAAUACCGGAGGCGUAGGCGGGCAACUGGACAGGUACUGACACUGAGGCACGAAAGCGUGGGGAGCAAACAGGAUUAGAUACCCCUGUAGUCC
Molecule: ribosomal RNA, 442 nt
Filed under: uncultured prokaryote
Description: bacterial SSU rRNA
Rfam family: Bacterial small subunit ribosomal RNA
Source: RNAcentral